Long non-coding RNA from Bos taurus (domestic cattle), 2241 nucleotides. The record is from Ensembl. NCBI's taxonomy places the organism in Eukaryota, Metazoa, Chordata, Mammalia, Artiodactyla, Bovidae.
CCUAAGACCCAAUGCAGCCAAACAGAAUAUGAAUAAAUAUAUUUUAAAAUGUCAGAGGUUCCAGGCAGGCGGGUUAAUUCCCCAGCCUGUGGCUUAACGCGUGCAUCACACCCUGCUCACACGCGCUUAGUGGCAACAUCGUGAAGACCAUACCGAAGGAAACGACACAACAGCAAACCCUGAGAGGAGACACCCCCCGCCGCCAUGGACAGCUGUGUUGCUGUAUCGCUGGGUCCCUGCACAGAAAUUUGGGUGUAAAAGGAAACCUUGAGAAGUGUGGAGACAUAAAGAGUAUCUCUAAGAAGAAAAGUAGGGUUUGGCAGUGAAUCUUUUUCUGUGCAUAAUUUAACUUCUUUCUUUGCUACCCUGAACCAGAAGGGAAUAAAGUUAAAUAUAGACCUUGAGAUACCGCCAGACUUGUGCAAAUAGACAUUAGGAAGAGUGUUGAAAGUUGCAGAAAACUACAGAGUACAAUUAAAUUUUUGUCCAUCAAUCACUGCUUGCUAGGUACUCUUACAGAAGUUUUGUGUGAGAAUGCUGUUUUAUCUCUAAAGGAAGGUAUUAUUCACCAGCUUUUAGAGAUGAUGGCCUUCGGAGAGAUUAAGUAACUUGCCUGAAGUCACACAGCUGGAAAAAGGGUUGAAACCCAGGUUUGUCUGAGUUAUCAGUGCCUAUCUUUUUCAAUGUAUUUGUUGCCUCCACCAGGAGACUCAUCUCUCAGAGAGACACAUACACAGGCCUCCUGGGGGCACGUAUGUGUCCUGCUUCUAUUUGUCUUUCACGCUUCAUGUUUAUGUGAUGCUAAGAAGCUCAUGUUUCCGGUUUGCUCUGAAAAUUCAAAUGGCUACCCUGUCUCGCUCUACUCCCCAUCCACCUGGUAGUUAAUAAUCACUACUUCCUGGGCAGGAAUUACCCCUGCAGAAUCAUCCUUUCUCCCCCUGCCCUCUUCAGCAGCUUGGCCAGUGUCAAUAACCCCAGACAGAAAUUCAAACAUAGUCAGAGGGACUUCCCUGGUGGCCCAGUGGUUAAGAAUCCUCCUGCCAAUGCAGGGGGUGGGGACACAGGUUCCAUCCCUGGUCUGGGAAGAUCCCACGUGCUGUGGGGCAACGGAGUCCUUGUGCCGUACCUACUGAGCCCGUGUUCUAGAGCCCAGGAGCCGCAACACCGACGACUGUGUGCCCUGGAGCCCCUGCACCACAGCAAGAGAAGCCACCGCAGUGAGAAGCCCGUGCGCUGCAACUUGAGAGCAGCCCCCACUUGCUGUAACUUCAGAAAGCCCCGGUGCAGUAGCAAGGUCCCAGUGCAGCCAAAAUUAAAAUAAAUAAAUACUAAAAAAAAAAAAAAAUAGACAGUGGCAACUCCAGCUCCAGACAAGGAAACAGGCCCUGGCCCCACCCGCCUCUAGGCUCAAGGGUCUGUUAAUAUCACCUUGGAGAAUCCAUCUCAAGACUUUUCAGCAUCAGGAGGGGCUUCCAAACUCUGACCAGCAGAGGAAAUGAGGCCACGUUGAACCAACAGCACUGUUUUCUGCCAGCCGCAAACACUUGGCAAGAAGGAAGGCUUGGAACAGGGAUUUCUCUGGUGGUCCAGUGGUUAGGAAAUCCGCCUGCCAAAUGCAGGAGACACAGGUUCAAUCCCUGGUCUGGGAAGAUCCCACACGCCGAGGGACAUCCAAGCCUGUAACCUAGAGCCGGUGCUCUGCAGUAAGAGAAGCCCGAUCAUUGCAACGAAGACUCAGCACAGCCAAAAUAUAAAUAACAUUUUUUUUAAAAGAUUAUUUUUCCAAAUGAAGUUAGGUUCACAGGAGAUCAGGGCAUGGGCAUAUCUCCUGGGGCCCUCCAUGCAGAAUCCACCCCUAGAAACACUUGCGUGACCACCUUUGACACCUGGCUGCCUGGUCUCCUUGCCUCCUGCUCGUAUACCCUGAAUGGGCCUGAUACGAGGGCUGGGGGUCCAAAGCAGAGGGACCCGGGCCACCCUCCGGGACCCACAGUCUGUAGUGGCAGAAGGACAGACAGACCCCCACUGGCUCCCUCCACACCCUGGCGGCCCUGGGUCGCCGGGCUCCCAGGGGAGGACACCCCUCAGCCUCCCAGGUGUUCUGGCCGGGCAUCCUGCCGCAGACACACGCUCGGGAUGCCCCCCGUCCUCCAGACGGGCUCCUGACGCCCCGGGGCGGUGACCAAGCACCACUCAGCCACCGCUGCAGCCGUUCAUUUCGGUGCUGGAGCAGCCUGGGUG